UGUUCCCACAAGGUUUCGAACCUGGGACCUUCUGCGUGUGAAGCGGACGUGAUAACCACUACAUCAUGGGAAC
This 73-nucleotide transfer RNA is filed under the name Araneus ventricosus. RNAcentral describes it as "tRNA-Val". The record is from RNAcentral. Lineage: Eukaryota; Metazoa; Arthropoda; Arachnida; Araneae; Araneidae.